This 217-nucleotide ribosomal RNA is filed under the name Escherichia coli. Its description in RNAcentral is "partial 16S ribosomal RNA". It matches the Rfam family "Bacterial small subunit ribosomal RNA", at positions 185 to 397 of the family's 1533-position model. The record is from RNAcentral. Lineage: Bacteria; Pseudomonadati; Pseudomonadota; Gammaproteobacteria; Enterobacterales; Enterobacteriaceae.
GUCGCAAGACCAAAGAGGGGGACCUUCGGGCCUCUUGCCAUCGGAUGUGCCCAGAUGGGAUUAGCUAGUAGGUGGGGUAACGGCUCACCUAGGCGACGAUCCCUAGCUGGUCUGAGAGGAUGACCAGCCACACUGGAACUGAGACACGGUCCAGACUCCUACGGGAGGCAGCAGUGGGGAAUAUUGCACAAUGGGCGCAAGCCUGAUGCAGCCAUGC